This is a long non-coding RNA of Zophobas morio, 2454 nucleotides long. RefSeq lists it as uncharacterized. Lineage: Eukaryota; Metazoa; Arthropoda; Insecta; Coleoptera; Tenebrionidae. The transcript has 2 exons. The record is from RefSeq and is a predicted model, not a curated record.
UUUUGGUGCGUUUUGGGUCCGGGAACAUGGCGCCGCCGCUGCGCAGCGCUCCGACGGCCCUCGGAAUGGCCAAAAACGGAGCGCGCCGCCUUUGCACAAUAUUGCGACAUGGGGCGGCGGCCACGUGCUCGCCGAACCGCCACCGGCGGCGGAUUCCACCGAAAACGGCGCCUCGUGGCGAUUAGUACGGUGGCGUCGGUUCGCAAAAGUGAGGUUAGGUGACUUACCGAAAACGGGGGUAGGACGGGAUAGUUCAACUCGGGACAUCACAAAAACAGGAAAAAGGGGUUCUGGAAGGUUUUCUUACACACUAGAGUUAGUUCGGGACACUUUUAUCCACUUUUAGCCACAAUCCAGGAACAUGCGGUCGGUCUUUGUUUAAGGGUGGCGGCAACUAGAUCCACUCGGGUGUAUAACGGGUUGCCUAAGUUACAAAUGGCGGCAACUCAACCAUGGGUUAUUGUCUUAUUGUAGCGCCGAAGAACUGGUUUUGUAUUGGGAAGUGGGUUUUUCCUGGCGGGGUUUUGAUCGAAAAGACGUUAUUUUCAAUGUUUUGCUCGUUUUGUUUGGAAUUUUUGAAAAAACAAGUUCGAGGAACCGGAUUUGUAUGCACGCACGCGGCCGGAUUUGUAUGCACGAAACGAGAACGGAAUGUGCGUCAUCGGUUGCGAUAAUUUGUAGUCGAAUUGGAUUCGGCGUAAAAUCGGACGAUAAGUGGUACGAAUUUGACGUAAAGCAGGCGAUUUUAGAACUGCGCCUAUUUUGAUUAUGUAGCAGGAAAAACGUUGAACUUUGCUUGUAGUUACGGCGUAGUGUUUUACUAAUCAACGACGCUUAUCGAAACAGGUAUUAUUUAUUUACAUGGGCUUUUUUAUCAGUAGAUUAUCAAUUGUCCUUCAGGUUUGAAACGUGGUAAUUUUUUUUUUUAGAUAAGACUAAUUUAAAAGUCAGAAAUUAAUAAAUACCAAAAUAACAACAUUCUGCCAAGUUAACCAGCCCAACUUCUCUGAGUGUUUAAAGCAACCACCCAAAAAUUGUAUUGAUAACAACAUUUUAAGUUCACAUUAAAAUAUAAUUACAAAACUUGGAAAAUACGGGUCUGAUGAAGUGUAAUUAUUUAAAAAACAAAUAUAUCGACUACGAAAAAAAUUAAAAAUCAUUAUUCUCAACUGAGUGUUUUAUACGAUAUAUAAACUGUAUAAAUUCUGACAAUAUAAAUUUUUUUGCAAAUGUAAAAAAUCAACUUUAUUAGCUUCACUAGUGAUAAUAAUUCAUUAAUUAUUGCAAUUUUUCUUUAAAAAAAUUCUUUUUUUUGUGACUAACGUCGUUCACGACUGUCUCCAUUUUCUUCAAAAUUUGUGUAUACAGUACUAUUAUUAUUAGUAAACUCAAAUCCAUAAGGUUGUAACCACUCCCUAGUGUAAAUUUUUAAAAAUUAUUCAGUGUGAAUCUGUCUUUUAAUAACCUGGUGACAUAUUUGGUGACCUGUCAAUAUAAUGUCAGUUCAUUCAUGUAUUCGCGACACAUGAUUACGUUCGACUUCACUGCAAUUCUUGCACUCCUGCACAGGUUAUUUCAUAAUUAUCAUUGUAACUUGUCGCAAUAUUGUAAAAACUGAUAAACAAUUUUCAAUAAAAACAGGAUAACCUGAGUCUUCAUGGUAAUUAUAAUACAAGAGCAACGAUAAAUAGAAACGUGUUUUAUCUUUCAUCUGUAGAAAGAAUGCCACCUGCUGUAAUUUAGACUUGCAGUCGAUACGUUUACGAAUUACGAUAAAAUGAACCCAAAAAUAUUGUGGUCACGAAUGAAAUCAAAUAUUGGGCUGGUAAAAAAACAAGAUGGGGAAUAACUGAGAUAUUCAGAAUUUGUUUAAAUUAUUGUACAUGAGUAUACGUGAUAAUUAUGUGUGGCUAACUAUGACUCGAAGGAUCAGCUCUCUCGACUGAAAUGAUCAAUCUCGCGAGCAACACCAAAAUUGUCAAAAUGGGUAGAUCACCUUAAUUAGUUGCAAUGGAUGACCAAUUUUUCAUCAAAAAAAUGGGACACCAACAAGUCUUUAAUGUUAUGUUUAAUAACUCUAAUAUUUGGUACUACUUAUUAUUUACAAAAUGUACAAGGGAUUUGGUUGAAGGCGAUAGGUCUGGCUAUGCUCCUCCGUCCUGACGAUUUUAGUGGUAAUAAUGAACAAAAUGUAACUUCACAAAAUUCAGAGGCUAAAAUAAUAGGUAUGUUGAAAAUAAUUUGACGGCUUAUUUAAACUUACUGUUACAGGAGUGGUUAGAAACAUUGGGAACACAUAGACCAAAUAACCAAAAAGCAAUUAUUUUUCUGUUGUUAACUUUCUUAAAUCUGAAUCCCAUGGAUUUUAAUACUCAACGUAAAGUAUUUAAACUUGCUGUAUAUUCUGGAUGUUCUUUCGCAAAAAUAAACAAAUCCUGAAGAGUAAAAAACUCA